CCAGACUCCUACGGGAGGCAGCAGUGGGGAAUAUUGGGCAAUGGGCGCAAGCCUGACCCAGCAACGCCGCGUGAAGGAAGAAGGCUUUCGGGUUGUAAACUUCUUUUCUCAGGGACGAAUAGAUGACGGUACCUGAGGAAUAAGCCACGGCUAACUACGUGCCAGCAGCCGCGGUAAUGCGGAGGAUGCGAGCGUUAUCCGGAUUUAUUGGGUUUAAAGGGUGCGUAGGCGGAAUGCCAAGUCAGCGGUAAAUGCGCGGGGCUCAACCUCGCUCCGCCGUUGAAACUGGCGUUCUUGAGUGGGCGAGAAGUAUGCGGAAUGCGUGGUGUAGCGGUGAAAUGCAUAGAUAUCACGCAGAACCCCGAUUGCGAAGGCAGCAUACCGGCGCCCAACUGACGCUGAAGCACGAAAGCGUGGGUAUCGAACAGGAUUAGAUACCCGAGUAUA
RNAcentral lists this ribosomal RNA (447 nucleotides) under uncultured bacterium. RNAcentral's name for it is "bacterial SSU rRNA". It matches the Rfam family "Bacterial small subunit ribosomal RNA", at positions 331 to 794 of the family's 1533-position model. The record is from RNAcentral.